RNAcentral lists this ribosomal RNA (492 nucleotides) under uncultured bacterium. RNAcentral describes it as "partial 16S ribosomal RNA". It matches the Rfam family "Bacterial small subunit ribosomal RNA", at positions 29 to 507 of the family's 1533-position model. The record is from RNAcentral.
AGUGAACGCUGGCGGUAGGCCUAACACAUGCAAGUCGAACGGCAGCACAGUAAGAGCUUGCUCUUACGGGUGGCGAGUGGCGGACGGGUGAGGAAUACAUCGGAAUCUACUUUUUCGUGGGGGAUAACGUAGGGAAACUUACGCUAAUACCGCAUACGACCUACGGGUGAAAGCAGUGGAUCUUCGGACCUUGCGCGAUUGAAUGAGCCGAUGUCGGAUUAGCUAGUUGGCGGGGUAAAGGCCCACCAAGGCGACGAUCCGUAGCUGGUCUGAGAGGAUGAUCGGCGACACUGGAGCUUGGACACGGUCCAGACUCCUACGAGAGGCAGCAGUGGGGAAUAUUGGACAAUGGGCGCAAGCCUGAUCCAGCCAUACCGCGUGGGUGAAGAAGGCCUUCGGGUUGUAAAGCCCUUUUGUUGGGAAAGAAAAGCAGCAGGUUAAUACCCCGCUGUUCUGACGGUACCCAAUGAAUAAGCACCGGCUAACUUCGUG